GUAGGGAAUAUUGGACAAUGGGGGGAACCCUGAUCCAGCCAUGCCGCGUGGAGGAAGACUGCCCUCUGGGUUGUAAACUCCUUUUAUAUGGGAAGAACCGUCCUCAUUAAUGAGUGACCUGACGGUACCAUAGGAAUAAGCACCGGCUAACUCCGUGCCAGCAGCCGCGGUAAUACGGAGGGUGCAAGCGUUAUCCGGAUUCACUGGGUUUAAAGGGUGCGUAGGCGGAUAAAUAAGUCAGUGGUGAAAUCAACGGGCUCAACCUGUUAACUGCCAUUGAUACUGUGUAUCUUGAAUAUGAGAGAGGUAGGCGGAAUGUUGCAUGUAGCGGUGAAAUGCUUAGAUAUGCUACGGAACACCGAUUGCGAAGGCAGCUUGCUGAACCAUUAUUGACGCUGAGGCACGAAAGCGUGGGGAGCGAACAGGAUUAGAAACCCUUGUAGUCC
This 446-nucleotide ribosomal RNA is filed under the name uncultured bacterium. RNAcentral's name for it is "partial 16S ribosomal RNA". It matches the Rfam family "Bacterial small subunit ribosomal RNA", at positions 354 to 796 of the family's 1533-position model. The record is from RNAcentral.